AGCUCCAGUAGCGUAUAUUAAAGUUGUUGCAGUUAAAAAGCUCGUAGUUGGAUUUCUGGCCUGACGAAACUGACCCGCCGCGGUUACGUGUGUGAGUGUCGGGCUUCGUCUGCCAUCCUUCCAGAAAACGUUUCUACCCUUCACUGGGCUGGAUUCGGUAUCUGGAACUUUUACUUUGAAGAAAUUAGAGUGUUCAAAGCAGGCUUGCGCUGUGAAUACAUUAGCAUGGAAUAAUAAUUUAGGACUUUGGGUCUUAUUUUGUUGGUUCUUAAGACGAAAGUAAUGAUUGAUAGGGAUAGUUGGGGGUGCUAGUAUUCAGCGGCCAGAGGUGAAAUUCUUGGAUUCGCUGAAGACUAACUUAUGCGAAAGCAUUCACCAAGGAUGUCUUCUUUAAUCAAGA
Molecule: ribosomal RNA, 400 nt
Filed under: phytoplankton environmental sample
Lineage: Eukaryota
Description: partial small subunit ribosomal RNA
Rfam family: Eukaryotic small subunit ribosomal RNA
Source: RNAcentral